Molecule: non-coding RNA, 29 nt
Filed under: Homo sapiens (human)
Lineage: Eukaryota; Metazoa; Chordata; Mammalia; Primates; Hominidae
Source: RNAcentral
UGUGAUGCCUCCCUGGGCUACAUGACAGA